UACAGAGGGUGCGAGCGUUGUCCGGAAUCACUGGGCGUAAAGGGCGCGUAGGUGGCUCUAUAAGUCGGGGGUGAAAUGCUGCGGCUCAACCGCAGCGCUGCCUCCGAGACUGUAGGGCUCGAGCACGGUAGAGGCCGAUGGAAUUCCCGGUGUAGCGGUGGAAUGCGUAGAGAUCGGGAAGAACACCAAUGGCGAAGGCGGCUACCUGGACCAGCACUGACACUGAGGCACGAAAGCGUGGGGAGCAAACAGG
RNAcentral lists this ribosomal RNA (253 nucleotides) under uncultured bacterium. RNAcentral describes it as "partial 16S ribosomal RNA". It matches the Rfam family "Bacterial small subunit ribosomal RNA", at positions 524 to 776 of the family's 1533-position model. The record is from RNAcentral.